AUGAACGCUGGCGGCGUGCCUAAUACAUGCAAGUCGAGCGAACGGACGAGAAGCUUGCUUUUCUGAUGUUAGCGGCGGACGGGUGAGUAACACGUGGAUAACCUACCUAUAAGACUGGGAUAACUUCGGGAAACCGGAGCUAAUACCGGAUAAUAUUUUGAACCGCAUGGUUCAAAAGUGAAAGACGGUCUUGCUGUCACUUAUAGAUGGAUCCGCGCUGCAUUAGCUAGUUGGUAAGGUAACGGCUUACCAAGGCAACGAUGCAUAGCCGACCUGAGAGGGUGAUCGGCCACACUGGAACUGAGACACGGUCCAGACUCCUACGGGAGGCAGCAGUAGGGAAUCUUCCGCAAUGGGCGAAAGCCUGACGGAGCAACGCCGCGUGAGUGAUGAAGGUCUGCGGAUCGUAAAACUCUGUUAUUAGGGAAGAACAUAUGUGUAAGUAACUGUGCACAUCUUGACGGUACCUAUCAGAAAGCCACGGCUAACUACGUG
Molecule: ribosomal RNA, 495 nt
Filed under: uncultured bacterium
Lineage: Bacteria
Description: partial 16S ribosomal RNA
Rfam family: Bacterial small subunit ribosomal RNA
Source: RNAcentral